This is a non-coding RNA of Pelobates cultripes (western spadefoot toad), 256 nucleotides long. Lineage: Eukaryota; Metazoa; Chordata; Amphibia; Anura; Pelobatidae. The record is from the annotation of a GenBank genome assembly.
UUCUUUAAUUAGGCCUGUCAUAAUUGUCAGCACCAGGCCCACUCGGCUGUUAAUCUGGCCCUGGAUGGCAACAAUGUAUUUUGGAUGUCUGCCCUAUCAACUUUGGAUGGUACUUUCUGCACCUACCAUGGUGACCACGGGUAACAAAGAAUUAGGGUUGGAUCCUGGAGAGGGAGCCUGAGAAACGGCUACCACAGCCAAGGAAGACAGCAGGCGCACAAAUUACCCACUCCCGGCGCAUGGAGGCAGUGACGAA